UAGUAUUAUAGGCCAGUCUGCAGGC
Molecule: unclassified non-coding RNA, 25 nt
Filed under: Mus musculus (house mouse)
Lineage: Eukaryota; Metazoa; Chordata; Mammalia; Rodentia; Muridae
Description: oocyte_clustered_small_RNA4430
Source: RNAcentral